This 639-nucleotide ribosomal RNA is filed under the name uncultured Streptomyces sp. RNAcentral describes it as "bacterial SSU rRNA". It matches the Rfam family "Bacterial small subunit ribosomal RNA", at positions 223 to 872 of the family's 1533-position model. The record is from RNAcentral. Lineage: Bacteria; Bacillati; Actinomycetota; Actinomycetes; Kitasatosporales; Streptomycetaceae.
GGAUGAGCCCGCGGCCUAUCAGCUUGUUGGUGAGGUAACGGCUCACCAAGGCGACGACGGGUAGCCGGCCUGAGAGGGCGACCGGCCACACUGGGACUGAGACACGGCCCAGACUCCUACGGGAGGCAGCAGUGGGGAAUAUUGCACAAUGGGCGAAAGCCUGAUGCAGCGACGCCGCGUGAGGGAUGACGGCCUUCGGGUUGUAAACCUCUUUCAGCAGGGAAGAAGCGCAAGUGACGGUACCUGCAGAAGAAGCGCCGGCUAACUACGUGCCAGCAGCCGCGGUAAUACGUAGGGCGCAAGCGUUGUCCGGAAUUAUUGGGCGUAAAGAGCUCGUAGGCGGUCUGUCGCGUCGGAUGUGAAAGCCCGGGGCUUAACCCCGGGUCUGCAUUCGAUACGGGCAGACUGGAGUGUGGUAGGGGAGAUCGGAAUGCCUGGUGUAGCGGUGAAAUGCGCAGAUAUCAGGAGGAACACCGGUGGCGAAGGCGGAUCUCUGGGCCAUUACUGACGCUGAGGAGCGAAAGCGUGGGGAGCGAACAGGAUUAGAUACCCUGGUAGUCCACGCCGUAAACGGUGGGAACUAGGUGUUGGCGACAUUCCACGUCGUCGGUGCCGCAGCUAACGCAUUAAGUUCCCCGC